RNAcentral lists this transfer RNA (72 nucleotides) under Danio rerio (zebrafish). It matches the Rfam family "tRNA". From Rfam's summary of the family: Transfer RNA (tRNA) molecules are approximately 80 nucleotides in length. Their secondary structure includes four short double-helical elements and three loops (D, anti-codon, and T loops). The record is from Rfam by way of RNAcentral. Lineage: Eukaryota; Metazoa; Chordata; Actinopteri; Cypriniformes; Danionidae.
GGGGGUUUAGCUCAGUGGUAGAGCAUUUAAAUGCAGAUCAAGAGGUCCCCGGCCUAAAUCCGGGUGCCCCCU